Molecule: ribosomal RNA, 484 nt
Filed under: uncultured bacterium
Lineage: Bacteria
Description: partial 16S ribosomal RNA
Rfam family: Bacterial small subunit ribosomal RNA
Source: RNAcentral
GAUGAACGCUGGCGGCGUGCUUAACACAUGCAAGUCGAACGGUGAAGCAGGAGCUUGCUCUUGUGGAUCAGUGGCGAACGGGUGAGUAACACGUGAGCAACCUGCCCCUGACUCUGGGAUAAGCGCUGGAAACGGCGUCUAAUACUGGAUAUGUGAUGUGACCGCAUGGUCUGCAUCUGGAAAGAAUUUCGGUUGGGGAUGGGCUCGCGGCCUAUCAGCUUGUUGGUGAGGUAAUGGCUCACCAAGGCGUCGACGGGUAGCCGGCCUGAGAGGGUGACCGGCCACACUGGGACUGAGACACGGCCCAGACUCCGACGGGAGGCAGCAGUGGGGAAUAUGGCACAAUGGGCGGAAGCCUGAUGCAGCAACGCCGCGUGAGGGAUGACGGCCUUCGGGUUGUAAACCUCUUUUAGCUGGGAAGAAGCGAAAGUGACGGUACCUGCAGAAAAAGCACCGGCUAACUACGUGCCAGCCGCCGCCGUAA